RNAcentral lists this ribosomal RNA (466 nucleotides) under uncultured Desulfovibrio sp. RNAcentral's name for it is "bacterial SSU rRNA". It matches the Rfam family "Bacterial small subunit ribosomal RNA", at positions 338 to 795 of the family's 1533-position model. The record is from RNAcentral. Lineage: Bacteria; Pseudomonadati; Thermodesulfobacteriota; Desulfovibrionia; Desulfovibrionales; Desulfovibrionaceae.
CCUACGGGAGGCUGCAGUGGGGAAUAUUGCGCAAUGGGCGAAAGCCUGACGCAGCGACGCCGCGUGAGGGAUGAAGGUCUUCGGAUCGUAAACCUCUGUCAAGAGGGAAGAAACCCUUGGAUUCGAAUAGGGUCCUUGGCUGACGGUACCUCAAAAGGAAGCACCGGCUAACUCCGUGCCAGCAGCCGCGGUAAUACGGAGGGUGCAAGCGUUAAUCGGAAUCACUGGGCGUAAAGCGCUCGUAGGCGGUUUGGUCAGUCAGAUGUGAAAGCCCUCGGCUUAACCGGGGAACUGCAUUUGAUACUGCCAGACUUGAGUGUCGGAGAGGGUGGCGGAAUUCCGGGUGUAGGAGUGAAAUCCGUAGAUAUCCGGAGGAACACCAGUGGCGAAGGCGGCCACCUGGACGACAACUGACGCUGAGGAGCGAAAGCGUGGGGAGCAAACAGGAUUAGAUACCCGGGUAGUC